Molecule: ribosomal RNA, 562 nt
Filed under: uncultured bacterium
Lineage: Bacteria
Description: partial 16S ribosomal RNA
Rfam family: Bacterial small subunit ribosomal RNA
Source: RNAcentral
UGGGGAAUAUUGGACAAUGGGCGCAAGCCUGAUCCAGCAAUUCCGCGUGGGUGAAGAAGGUCUUCGGAUUGUAAAGCCCUUUCGACAGGGACGAUGUGACGGUACCUGUAGAAGGAGCCCCGGCUAACUUCGUGCCAGCAGCCGCGGUAAUACGAAGGGGGCUAGCGUUGCUCGGAAUUACUGGGCGUAAAGGGCGCGUAGGCGGCUGUGUUAGUCAGGCGUGAAAUUCCUGGGCUCAACCUGGGGACUGCGCUUGAUACGGCAUGGCUUGAGGAUGGAAGAGGCUCGCGGAAUUCCCAGUGUAGAGGUGAAAUUCGUAGAUAUCGGGAAGAACACCGGUGGCGAAGGCGGCGAGCUGGUCCAUUACUGACGCUGAGGCGCGACAGCGUGGGGAGCAAAACAGGAUUAGAUACCCUGGUAGUCCACGCCGUAAACGAUGUGCGCUGGAUGUUGGGUGGCCUAGCCACUCAGUGUCGUAGCCAACGCGGUAAGCGCACCGCCUGGGGGAGUACGGCCGCAAGGUUGAAACUCAAAGGAAUUGACGGGGUCAUAGCUGUUUCCU